This 247-nucleotide unclassified non-coding RNA is filed under the name uncultured fungus. Its description in RNAcentral is "partial contains 5.8S ribosomal RNA, internal transcribed spacer 2, and large subunit ribosomal RNA". The record is from RNAcentral. Lineage: Eukaryota; Fungi.
AACGCACAUUGCGCCCUUCGGUAUUCCGUUGGGCAUGCCUGUUCGAGCGUCAUUUAAAUAUUCAAGCUCAGCUUGGUGUUGGGCGUUUGUCCCCCCCUCCGGGGGGACUCGCCUCAAAUGCAUUGGCGGCCGGUAUGUUGGCUUCGAGCGCAGUAGAAACGCGCCUGGCGUCUUGACAUACGGGUCCUCCACAAGCCCUUCUUUUAAUCUUGACCUCGGAUCAGGUAGGGAUACCCGCUGAACUUAA